ACAUUGAUUUCAACUUUUAAGAACUGUGAACUUUCUGCUCUUUUGUAAGCAACAGAGAGGGCAGUCACCUUGUGGACACUCACAGGAGUUACAGAGGAGAAUUACAGUGGAGAUGCCACGAAACACUGCUGUUGAAGGAGGUUUUCAUGGAAAUACCUCCAAUUCAUUUGAAGGUUUUUCAGUUCUUAGUGGCUGACUAAAAGCACUCAGCACGUUACUCGCCUCCAGCGCAGCUGAAUGAUCUGCUGAACUGGUAAUAUGAAAUAGCUGGGAAACAGCAUCCUGCAUGUCAUUUUCUCUCCCCUUUCAG
RNAcentral lists this long non-coding RNA (310 nucleotides) under Coturnix japonica (Japanese quail). RNAcentral describes it as "lncRNA (ENSCJPG00005018612.1)". Lineage: Eukaryota; Metazoa; Chordata; Aves; Galliformes; Phasianidae. The record is from RNAcentral.